CCCGGGGACGUUAUCCGGGAAUUAAUUGGGGCGUAAGAGAGUGCAGGCGGUUUUCUAAGUCUGAUGUGAAAGCCUUCGGCUUAACCGGAGAAGUGCAUCGGAAACUGGAUAACUUGAGUGCAGAAGAGGGUAGUGGAACUCCAUGUGUAGCGGUGGAAUGCGUAGAUAUAUGGAAGAACACCAGUGGCGAAGGCGGCUACCUGGUCUGCAACUGACGCUGAGACUCGAAAGCAUGGGUAGCGAACAGGAUUAGAUACCCUGGUAGUCCAUGCCGUAAACGAUGAGUGCUAGGUGUUGGAGGGUUUCCGCCCUUCAGUGCCGGAGCUAACGCAUUAAGCACUCCGCCUGGGGAGUACGACCGCAAGGUUGAAACUCAAAGGAAUUGACGGGGGCCCGCACAAGCGGUGGAGCAUGUGGUUUAAUUCGAAGCUACGCGAAGAACCUUACCAGGUCUUGACAUCUUGCGCCAACCCUAGAGAUAGGGCGUUUCCUUCGGGAACGCAAUGACAGGUGGUGCAUGGUCGUCGUCAGCUCGUGUCGUGAGAUGUUGGGUUAAGUCCCGCAACGAGCGCAACCCUUGUUACUAGUUGCCAGCAUUAAGUUGGGCACUCUAGUGAGACUGCCGGUGACAAACCGGAGGAAGGUGGGGACGACGUCAGAUCAUCAUGCCCCUUAUGACCUGGGCUACACACGUGCUACAAUGGACGGUACAACGAGUCGCGAACUCGCGAGGGCAAGCAAAUCUCUUAAAACCGUUCUCAGUUCGGACUGCAGGCUGCAACUCGCCUGCACGAAGUCGGAAUCGCUAGUAAUCGCGGAUCAGCAUGCCGCGGUGAAUACGUUCCCGGGCCUUGUACACACCGCCCGUCACACCAUGAGAGUUUGUAACACCCAAAGUCGGUGGGGUAACCUUUUAGGAGCCAGCCGCCUAAGGUGGGACAGAUGAUUAGGGUGAAGUCGUACAGGGGUGAGGGGUAAAGAAAA
RNAcentral lists this ribosomal RNA (984 nucleotides) under Limosilactobacillus fermentum. RNAcentral describes it as "bacterial SSU rRNA". It matches the Rfam family "Bacterial small subunit ribosomal RNA", at positions 531 to 1512 of the family's 1533-position model. The record is from RNAcentral. Lineage: Bacteria; Bacillati; Bacillota; Bacilli; Lactobacillales; Lactobacillaceae.